GUGGGGAAUAUUGGGCAAUGGGGGAAACCCUGACCCAGCAACGCCGCGUGAAGGAAGAAGGUUUUCGGAUCGUAAACUUCUAUCCUUGGUGAAGAUAAUGACGGUAGCCAAGAAGGAAGCCCCGGCUAACUACGUGCCAGCAGCCGCGGUAAUACGUAGGGGGCAAGCGUUGUCCGGAAUGAUUGGGCGUAAAGGGCGCGUAGGCGGCCUGGUAAGUCUGGAGUGGAAGUACUGCUUUUAAGGUGGGAAUUGCUUUGGAUACUGUCGGGCGUGAGUGCAGGAGAGGUAAGCGGAAUUCCCGGUGUAGCGGUGAAAUGCGUAGAGAUCGGGAGGAACACCAGUGGCGAAGGCGGCUUACUGGACUGUAACUGACGCUGAGGCGCGAAAGUGUGGGGAGCAAACAGGAUUAGAUACCCCUGUAGUCC
RNAcentral lists this ribosomal RNA (425 nucleotides) under uncultured bacterium. Its description in RNAcentral is "partial 16S ribosomal RNA". It matches the Rfam family "Bacterial small subunit ribosomal RNA", at positions 354 to 796 of the family's 1533-position model. The record is from RNAcentral.